Molecule: RNA transcript, 2533 nt
Organism: Tarenaya hassleriana
Lineage: Eukaryota; Viridiplantae; Streptophyta; Magnoliopsida; Brassicales; Cleomaceae
Gene name: type I inositol polyphosphate 5-phosphatase 1
Exons: 11
Source: RefSeq, a predicted model, not a curated record
UCUCCCACCAAAGGAUAGGUCGUUAUGUCUCGACCGUUUCCUCCCCCCUCCAUCAUUGGCUCCUUCGUCUUCAUCCCUCUCUUCGAGCCUCUUCUCGAUUUUGUUUUGUUUCCGUCGGAGUCGGAAAGACUUGAUCGGAUUAUAUGGCACAUGGAGGAUCGAGGAGUAGGGAGAGGAGUUGGGCUGCGCUCUGCAGCUUGUCUUGCUCGUGCCUACAGCUCUACUGGGUUCGUAUCGUCGUCCGCAAAUGGUUCAACAUCUCUGACUCCGAAUCAGACUAUAGUGCCGAUACUGACGCCGACGACGGUGAUAGCGACACCGAUUCCGACAACACCCAAGAAUUUGAUCCACGGGGAAGGGAACCGAGGUCUGGGGUUACGAAAGAUGAAGAUGAUGGUGAUGGUAAUGAUGCUAUUCCGAGGUUGAGAAGAAGGAAUUCGGAAACGUUCAGGGCUCAGUAUAUGGACACAAAAGCAAUCAGAAUCUGUGUGGGGACAUGGAAUGUUGGAGGAAGAGUUCCACCCGCUGACUUUGAUAUUGAUGGUUGGGUAGACACCAUUGAACCUGCAGAUGUAUAUGUUCUCGGUCUUCAAGAAAUAGUUCCACUAAAUGCUGGGAACAUUUUUGGUAUCGAGGAUGACCGUCCAGCUUCUAGAUGGGAGAACAUUAUCCGUGAUGCCCUAAACCGAAUUCGACCUAGAAAGCAAAAGAUCGUAAGUUACAGUGACCCCCCUUCUCCAUCAAAGUUUAAGCCAUCAGGGGAGGUCCCUGAUAUAGUAGAAGAAGAUAUGUUAAUGGAAACCAGCAGUGAUACUGCCGACGAGAAUCGUCAGUUGUAUGAGGAAUCCAACUUUGACGAAAGCAAAGACAGAACUAUUAGAAGUGUAGAUGCGCUUAUCAAUGGAAAUCUUCAGGACUCUACUUACUCCGAGAGAUCUUGCUUGCCGGUACAAGAAUACUUGCAGAGGCAGUUUUCAUCGCCAAAGACACUGGAACGGUUGCUUUCCAUGCAGAUCGAUAACCGUUCAAAGCGUGCAGAAAGAUUAAGCAGAUGGUUUAGUGUCUCGGAAAGAGAUGGUUUGGCCUGGCCAGAGCCUCCACUACGAUUGUUAAAUCAACACGUUUUGGAAAGACACGGUUCCUUAAAAUCAUUGAAUUCAUUUAGCGGGUAUAAUUCAUUCAAAACAACCGCAAACCAUAUUGCAACACAGAAGACACCUCUACUUGAAGACAUCGAUCUCGAGCCUCUCAUGAACCCGAGAAGGCCAUCAUAUGUACGGAUUGUGAGCAAACAGAUGGUAGGAUUAUUUCUCACCAUCUGGGUACGUAGGAGCCUGCGCAAGCACAUCCGGAAUCUCAGUGUCUCCACUGUUGGCGUUGGCGUUAUGGGCUACAUCGGUAACAAGGGAUCAGUGUCAGUGAGUAUGUCAAUCUAUCAGACACUAUUUUGUUUCAUGUGCACACAUCUGGCAUCGGGUGAAAAGGACGGAGAUUGGGUGAAAAGAAACACUGAUGUACGUGAAAUUCGCAAAAGGACUCAGUUUCAUCAGCGUUCCCUUUCUGCAUUUGGGCUCCCGAGAAGCAUUCAUGAUCACGAAAAAAUUAUCUGGCUAGGAGAUCUGAAUUAUCGGAUUAACUUGUCAUAUGAGAAGACACGUGAGCUUAUUGCCAGAAAGGAGUGGCAGAAGUUGGUUGAGAAGGACCAGCUGGUACGAGAAAUGAGGAAGGGACGUGCUUUCGAGGGAUGGUCGGAAGGAACAUUAGAUUUCCCACCAACAUACAAGUAUGAACUCGACUCAGAAGAAUACAGCAGAGAGGAUUCAAGAUCUGGCAAGCGUACACCCGCUUGGUGUGAUCGUAUACUUUCGCACGGGAAAGGAAUGAAGCUUGCGAGUUACAAAAGAAGUGAGCUAAAACUAUCGGAUCACAGGCCGGUGACAGCAACGUACGUGGCAGAGGUCGAGGUGCUUUCUCCUCGGAAACUUCAGCGUGCAUUGACACUAACCGAUGCUGAGAUCCAUCGUCAUGGCCAUCAAUAGCUUUCUCAUAAAUUAAGAAACCCUUCAAUGUUCCUGAUUCUCGCCCACGUCUUAGAUCCAAGAGAAGAUGUUGAAACCAUCUCCUCCACGCACACUGGGACAUGAUCACACGGAAUCCGACCACCGGCAAGAAAGAGGAUGAGAUCGGAUGGGGAUGCGUCGAGGGAGACGUGGCGAAGCUAUAUGUUCGAGGGUGAAGGAGGGGUAAUUCCACGAUUUCGUCAUUAAGGCCUCAGUCGAACCUUCUAGCCUUUGCUUUGUGCGCAUCCUGCAAGUACCCGAGCCUGAGCCUCCAACAACCACGAGGACGAGGCCGAGACCUCCUAACCCCGAAACUGGAGGAGGCCGAGGCCGAGGCCAAUGGCUUGAAAAUCUCAGGUGCCCACUCCUAUUAUCCAUAUGAAGAAAAAAGAAAACAUAUACCAUUAUCAUCGAUCGCAAAAGCAAAGUCUCGUUAAUACACAUUGAAAUGGUUCAUCUUAUUGGCUUGUGAU